Molecule: long non-coding RNA, 401 nt
Filed under: Elaeis guineensis (African oil palm)
Lineage: Eukaryota; Viridiplantae; Streptophyta; Magnoliopsida; Arecales; Arecaceae
Description: long non-coding RNA (EGUI_LNC022979)
Source: RNAcentral
UUGUCUACGUCCAUCCAUGGCAUUUUCCUCCUGAUGCCUGCAGCCCUUACAACCCACCCAUAAACUGCUGGGCGAAACAACCAUGCCUACUCUCUCGAGCAUUGCCCUAAGCGCUGCCACAACUCCUUCCCUCUAUUUCUAUGGUUAGACCCCUUUUCUUCUCUGACUCAUGUAGUGACCUCUCGGGCUCUUAGGAACCAUCGAGAGCUUUGAUGAGAUUUAAGGUGGGAAAUAAAAAGUAUGAUUAACUUUAUUUGUGGAUGCAUGCUUUGUUGUAAGAGGUAUAACUCAUGAGUUCUUAGAUUAAAUAUAUGUGUAGAUCUAUGUAUCAUUUUGUUGAUUUAAAUAUAUAAAAGGAAAGUUCAGCAAUUUUAGCAUUGAAAAUUUGAUGUUCAUGUGCC